Molecule: long non-coding RNA, 1305 nt
Organism: Numida meleagris (helmeted guineafowl)
Lineage: Eukaryota; Metazoa; Chordata; Aves; Galliformes; Numididae
Source: Ensembl
AUGCCUGCAUGUCCACGCUUUGCUGCUGGCCUACCAGAAGGAGCUCUGUCUCUGCAGACACUCUCUGCCCUCUGGAACGAUCUUGCAGGGCUUGAAGUUACUCAUUUUGUGCUCCCUUUCUCUCACUGGCAGCUAAUGGGAUGCACAUCAAGAGCAGCGAAGCGCUCAACAUCGCUGCCAAUGUCAUUCACAACAAGUGCAGCAGUGGGGCAGCAGUCCUUCAGUGCAGCCAGCUGGCAUCUGUCAGUAACAACAGCAUCUCCUGCAAUGGCCAGGCUGGGGUGCAGGUGGAGGCAGAGCGCCGGGCAGGGCUGCACCCACAGCACCCAUGGCACCAUCUCCAGGGGAGAGGGCGUAAUGACAGAGAACGAUCUCAUCGGUGAGCACAAGUAUGGCCUUCAGCUGCUCCAGGCAGGAGGAAGACUUAGGUGGGAAGCUCUGCUGCCCUACAUCAAGUGCAAGAGGGUGAAAGCGCGCCGGUGUGCUGUGGGGAGGAUUGCCAGACUGAGCCGGGUCCUGGUCACCCCUGCUCUGAUGGAGAGCUCGUCUGAACAGAGUAAAAACAGGGACGGCGUUUCCUGCUCAGAAGACAAGUGUGAGACGCUGCUGGGGCAGCUGUUGGGGCACCUGACCCUGUGCCGUGCCGAGGUGGACCAGGAGAUCCGCCAUGGGUCUGAGGAGGCUCUGCGUGCCAUCCACAGCGUCUUCGUAGCUCGAGAGAGUUACUCGGUGGCACGUGCCGGUCAAAGUCUGUAUGCGGAGGGGGAAUGGCGGCCCUGCUUCCGGCCCUACUAUCUUUUUGAGGAGAAAAUGGUGCCUGAGAUCCUGCGGAGCAUCUAUGAACACCUGAUGUUGCUCAGCAAGGAGUCGCUCCGGGACAUCGUGAUCCGGACCCUUUUCCAGAUCACACCCUUGGACCCCCAGUGUGUGGUCAGGGCCAUGCUGCGUGACAUCCCAUGGUGUGACAGGCUUUCCACAACCAUGUGGCAGACGAUGGUCUCCGAGCCCAGCCUUGCAAAGCAGGUGGUGUACAACCUGCUGAUGCAGCGGCCACAGACCAAGCACGAUGGCUUUGGCCCAGGCCGCAACUGCGUCCAUCACCUGCAUGUGGGUUUCUGGAUGACGCCUUGCUCACUCCCGGCGCGGCUGCGCUCCCCUCCCCUCCCGUCUGCAGCCCCUCGUCCUCUCUUCCCCUGCCCUCGAUCCCCAAGCUCCCAGCCUGCAGGCUCAGGCAGCAUUGCAGGGGCAGCUGUGCAGUGAGGGCCGUCCCUGGGUGUUUUCUGCAGAUAAUCCGUGCCUUGCACG